AACGAACGCUGGCGGCAUGCCUAACACAUGCAAGUCGAACGAGACCUUCGGGUCUAGUGGCGCACGGGUGCGUAACGCGUGGGAAUCUGCCCUUCGGUUGGGAAUAACUGAGAGAAAUUUCAGCUAAUACCUUAUAAUGUCUUCGGACCAAAGAUUUAUCGCCGAGGGAUGAGCCCGCGUAGGAUUAGGUAGUUGGUGGGGUAAUGGCCUACCAAGCCGACGAUCCUUAGCUGGUCUGAGAGGAUGAUCAGCCACACUGGGACUGAGACACGGCCCAGACUCCUACGGGAGGCAGCAGUGGGGAAUAUUGGACAAUGGGCGAAAGCCUGAUCCAGCAAUGCCGCGUGAGUGAUGAGGGCCUUAGGGUUGUAAAGCUCUUUUACCCGGGAUGAUAAUGACAGUACCGGGAGAAUAAGCUCCGGCUAACUCCGUG
This 433-nucleotide ribosomal RNA is filed under the name uncultured bacterium. Its description in RNAcentral is "partial 16S ribosomal RNA". It matches the Rfam family "Bacterial small subunit ribosomal RNA", at positions 29 to 507 of the family's 1533-position model. The record is from RNAcentral.